AUCCCGACUAAGUGGCCGUCCUGGGAGUUAUAGUGCCACUAGCCGGCCUCGGCUGUUCCCUGUCCGAGGCUCUUGUCAUUUCCGCUUAUUUCCUCCACGGGUGCCGAUUUCAUGUGUGUGUUCCCGAGUGCCUGAGCCGGCUCCCGAAAUGAGUACUCGUGGUUUCCGCGUGGGAACCAACCUCGAGCGCCAGUGGCCCGCCCUCUCCGGGCUGAGGUGGCUGCUGAGGCUGGGGCUGCUCCUGAGGCUUCAGGGCCGCCCGCUGCACGGCUUUCUACCUUCCCAGGUUAGCCGCGGUCAACUUCUGCCAGGCGGAGCGAGAAAUCGCAUUUUGUCAGUUUUAACAAAACAGAAAUGUGUAAAAAUUUGUGUAAAAUCUUACGAUCGAGACCAAAUGGACAAGCUGGCUUUUUUUGAAGAAAGUAAUACGACUGAAUUACUAGCAUCAUUGCUGUAACACUCACCGUGAAGGUCUGAAGCUUUACUCUGGAAGCCAGUGAGACCAGGAACCCACCGGGAGGAAUGAACGACUCCAGACACACCGCCUUAAGAUCUGUGACACUCACCGCGAAGGUCUGCAGCUUCAUUCCUGAUCCAGCGAGACCAUGAACCCACCAGAAGGAAAAAACUCCGGACACAUCCGAACGUCUAGAAGAAACAAACUCCAGACACACCGCCUGUAAGAACUGUAACGGUCACCGCGAGGGUCCGCGGUUUCAUUCUUGAAGUCAGUGAGACCAAGAACCCACCAUUUCUGGACACACUACCAUGCCAGAGAUCCAGGGGCUGCAGCAUGCUGAAAGAAAACAGAAGCCUGUGGAGUGAGCCAAGAUCAACCAGGAAAUAAACCCUUUCCCUUGCGAUGUCUCUCCAGCGCCCUCUACUGACAAACCUGCUUUAGUGCCAGUUUGUAGAGAAUUGUCUUUGCUGAUCUCUUUAUUAUGAUGAAAAUUCUCUGGAUGGAAGGGUCAUCAGCUGCCGUCUCCUUUGCUACUCUGCUAGAUAUCCUUACAAUUUGGUUUAGAAUUUUAGUACCACUAACAUUUUUUGGUGCAUAUUUUGGAAAUAAAGAAAAGGUAAACUCUUAAAAUACUGCUUUUGGCCACUGAGCGAUGACUGAAAUAAUACCUCAGUGUAUAUAUUACACAUGAAAUACAAAAAGUCCCACUGGAGAAAACUACAGAGAAUAAUCAUUUUGGAAUAAAAGAUACUUUAAAAAAUUAAGUAAAGGACAGUAACACUUUCAAAGACAUUAAUGCAUUUCCUACAUUAUCAAUUGUUUAUACUGCCUUUUACCUCUGAUGAACCAAAUUAAAAGGACAUAUUGUAGAAAGGCUGACAUCAGCCAACUCAGGAAACUAAUAGGGUUAUACAGUGGGAUAAGGAAGUCAAGAUGUAGUCCAAGGAAUGGGGCUAUUCGGUUUACAGAUUUGAAGUUAGCCUAUUCCACAUAUCGGAGAAAGGUAUAGGAUACCAAAAAGUCUCAAUGAGGCCACACAGCCAAAAAACUCUUCAAGGAUAUAGCAUGAGAUUGCAGAGGAAAUGUUGGAAAAGACAAAAUGGGAGGUGGAGUUCCACAGAGAGCAGCAAAAAGAAAAUUUUCUGAAAACUAUUGACACAUUCUUAGACAAAUUCUAAGAGAGAACUUUUGGACAUUUUAGAUUAUUUUGCAUUAGAAUAGUCACUGGUAAAUCUUUCCAGUCUCUCCCUUGGAAAUUAUAAAAAAGGAUAAAUAUCCUCAUUGAUUGUUUAGCUGUGUGUCACUUAGUAUGGUGCCACUGGUCGCAUGUGGCUGUUGAGCACCUGAAAUGUGGCUGUCGGAAUUGAGAUGGGCUCUAUGUGGAAAAUACACACCAGAUUUUGAACACUUAGAACAACGACAAAGAUAACGUAAAAUAUUUGCUCAAUAAUUUUAUAUUAACACAAGUAUAAAUCAUAAUAUUUGGACAUGUUAGAAUAAAUAAAAUAUGAUGUUAAAAUUAAUUCCAUCUGUUUCUUUUUACUUUUUUAAGGGGGGCUACUAAAAAAUUUAGAACUACACAUGUGGCUUGCAUUAUACUUCCAUUGCACAGCACUGGCCUAGCCCCUGCCCACAUGACUGCUUUUUGUUAUUUUCUUUAUACUAUUGUUGUUUUCUCAAAGCUGCCUUUGAGAAAAAUGCUCCUGUAAAUAUUCCAUGCCCUCUUCAGAUUCAAGAUUCUGUUUUGUGAUAAUAUCUGUAUAGAUGUUUUUCAGUUUCAUUUCAUUCUGAUUCUCACUUCAUUUAUUUCCGAGCAGAUUAGUUGUCCAGUUCAGACAAACCAGAUCCCCUGUCAGAUUCCUCCAUAGAACUUCUUUACAAAACCACUUCUUGGCAUCAUAAUUGGUGGCAUUUUCCCCUUCGGCUGUAUUUUUAUUCAACUCUUUUUCAUUCUGAACAGUAUUUGGUGAGUAUUACAUCUUCAUAAUCUUAAAAGUGUUAGUUUUUAGUAAAUUAACAUUCCUAUAGUUUAAGGAGGUUAAAUUCUGAUAUGAUAAUACUUCAUUUACCUCCCUUUAUCCAGUAAAUAACAAUCUGACCUAGAAGAAUUUCCUAGAGAACCGAGACUUAAUUCAUGACUUUAAAAAUAUUUAUUUUUAAUUUUUGUGGGUACACAGUAGGUGUAUAUAUUUAUGGGGUACAUGAGAUGUUUUGAUACAGGCAUGCAGUGCAUAAUAAUCACAUCUAUGGAGAACGAGGUAUCCAUCCCCUCAAGCAUUUAUCCUUUGUGUUUCAAACAAUACAAUUAUACUCUUUUAGUUAUUUUAAAAUGUACAAUUAAAUUAUUAUUGACUGUAGUCACCCUGUUGAAUUCACAAUUUUUAAAAGGCACGUUUUGAUGGAAAUAUUUAUAAAGAUUUACUUUUUUGGCUGGGCGCAGUGGUUCACACCUAUAAUUCCAGCACUUUGGGAGGCUGAAGCAGGUGGAUCACUUGAGGUGGGGCGUUCGAGACCAGCCUGGCCAACAUGGUGAAACCCCAUCUCUACUAAAAAUACAAAAAUUAGCCGGACGUGGUGGUGACUGUCUGUAAUCCCAGCUACUAGACAGGCUGAGGCAUGAGAAUCACUUGAACCCGGGAGGUGGAGGUUGCAGUGAGCUGAGAUCGUGCCACUGCACUCCAGCUUGGGCGACAGAGUGAGACUCCAUCUCAAAAAACAAACAAACAAAACAAAACAAAAAAAAAAACAAGCUGCAAAGUAGAUGAUACUAACCAUAUUUUCCAGAUGUUCUUGAUGGGAAAGUAGUUUUAAAAUGGAAACUGAAAGGUUUUUCAGACAAUUAACUUUCAUUUCAGUGAAAAGCAAUGUGCUUGUUUUUUAUUUUACUUUUGUUUUUUAUUUUUUUGAGACAGGGUCUCACUCUGUCACCCAGGCUGGAGUGCAGUGGUGCGAUGUCGGUUCACUGCAACCUCCACCUGCCUCCCAGGUUCAAGCAAUUCUCGUGUCUCAGCCUCUUGAGUAGCUGGGACUACAGGCGUGCACCACUAUGCCCAGCUAAUUUUUGUAUUUUCGGUAGAGACAGGGUUUCAACAUGUUGGCCAGGCUGGUCUUGAAGCAAUGUAUUUGUUGCAUACAACUUUGUAUAAAUUUAUUAUCUAGGGAGAUGCUUCUCAAUACUCAUCCCUCACUCUCAUACUCAGGUAUAUAUUUUACAUGACAUUUUUAGGUGGCGUAUUGAUCGGUUCAUCAAUUUCUUUUUAUUUCCAAAAGGCUUUUUAAAAUGGAUGUUGUGGCUGGGUGUGGUGGCUCAUGCCUUUAAUCCCAGCAUUUUGGGAGUCUGAGGCAGGGGGAAUCACUUGAGGCCAGGAGUUCAAGGCCAGCCUUGGGCAACAUAGCAAGAUCCUGUCUCUACAAAUGAAAUAAAAUAAAAUAAAAAAUUAGCCAAGCAUGGUGGCACGUGCUUGGCUAAAAAAUUAGCCAAGCAUGGUAGCCUGUAAGUUCCAGCUACUUGAGAGGCUAAGGCAGGAGGAUCACUUGAACUCAGGAGGUUGAGACUGCAGUGAGCUGUGAUUGCACCACCGCACUCUAGCCUGGGUGAUGGAGUGAGACCCUGUCUCUAAAGUAUUAGUUAAUUAAUUGGAAUGGGCAUUGAUCAUCCCAACUUAGCUCAGGUCUAUAAUAACCAAGAGAGUUAACUGCAUUCUUUCAAAGUUUCACCUAGAUGUAAUCCACACACAGAUUUUUUUAAAAGGCACAUUUGAAAGUAUAUUUAAUAGAAUUAUGUGUGCUGUGCUAUAAAGACAUAUUUGGAAAAGGUGAAUGUCAACAGGCUUUCUAAGGCAAAAGUGGUAUUUGAAUCUGGUUUUCUGUUUUAUGAUGUCGUUGUUGGUAUUUAUGGCAUUUGCAGCCUUCAAUUUCUAAAGAGAAUGUUUUUAAAUAUGUAUGGAGAAAAUUAUGGUGAUAUUGAUGAGUCUCAAGUGAGAACUAACUUAUAUGACCAGAGAAACAUGGGUAAGUAGCAGCACUGGUUCUGACUAGAGAAGAUACGGCCAAACUCUGAAACUGCAUAGGUAAGGGACUAUUUUUUGGUACUUAAAGGAUAAGUGGAGAUUUGGAAUACAGAGUUGAAUGUUUAGGGGAAAAAAAGAAAAAAAAAGGUUUAGAGAAGUGUAUGACUGUCUAUUGUAUAGAUUUGGAUUGAUCUUUCUGUGUGUACUGUUAAGUUAAAGUUUAUUUAAACCUCUUAUUUUUAUUUUCAGGUCUCAUUAGCUGUACUACAUGUUUGGCUUCCUUUUCUUAGUCUUUAUAAUUCUUGUGAUUACUUGCUCAGAAGUUACAGUUUUGCUGUAUUAUUUUCAUUUAUGUGCUGAGGUAAAGCCAUAAGAAACUAAUGCAUUUGCUAUACUUGCAUUAUUGGAAUUGGAAGUCUGUGUUUAGAAAAGAAUUGAAAUAAAUGAUAACUGCAUGUUUCUACAACUUGGGAUCAGUUUUAUAUUGUGUUUUCCUAUUAACACAUUUUGACUUUGAUGUGGCUGUCAAGUUAAGGCUGCUUUGAUGGAAAAUUUAAAUAGAAAGUUAUUUCUCUUUGGCUGGUUAUUGUAAUUGCUGCAUGAUAUUCAGUUAACAGAAAAAUAUAAGGGACUGAUUUAAUAUUUAUCAAGUUCAAUGAUAUUUCCUUUUCUUUUUUUGAGACAGGGUUUCACUCUGUCGCCCAGGCUGGAGUGCAGUGGUGCAAUCUCGGCUUAUUGCAAUCUCUGCCUCCUGGGUUCAAGCGAUUCUCAUGCCUCAGCCUCUCUAGUAGCUGUAGUAGCUGGGAUUACAGGUGACCACCACCACACACAGCUAAUUUUUGUGUUUUUAGUAGAGACGAGGUUUUGCCAUGUUGCCCAGCCUGGUCUUGAACUCCUGGGCUCAAGUGAUCCACUCUCCUUGGCUUCCCAAACAGCUGAGAUUACGGGCAUGAGCCACCACGCCCGGCUGAUGUUUUCUUUUUAACAAUUAAAUUUUUUCUUUGCAGCUUAAGCCAGCAUUCUGGUUUGUUGGUUUGAGAUAGUGGCUAAAGGUCCUUUCUCUUCUUUCAUUUUAUUGCCUUUUGGUUACCACAGACACAAUAGUUCUUUUUACCCCAGUCCCAUUUUCCCCCGAUAUCAUUCUGGAUAACUGAGCUGGUAGUGUACAUUGUUCUCUUAAAUCCCCUAAAUCCGUUUUAUUUUGGUAGUUAAAUAUGACUCUUCAAAGAUAACAGACAAUAGAGGGUUCAGGGAAUGAUUCUUAUAUACAUGUUUUCUUAGACAUUUUCUUCUUGUGCUAUUGGUAUAGAGGUACAAAAUAUAACUAUAUAUAUACUUAAAUAUACUUAUGUAGUAUAUUUAUACUUAGCUGGUGUAUUAGUUCAUUUUCACACUGCUGAUAAAGACAUACCCAAAACUGGGAACAAAAAGAGGUUUAAGUGGACUUACAGUUCCGCAUGGCUGGGGAGGCCUCAGAAUCACGGCGGGAGGCGAAAGGCACUUCUUACAUAGCAGCAAGAGAAGAAUGAGGAGGAAGCAAAAGCAGAAACCCCUGAUAAACCCAUCAGAUCUCAUGAGACUUAUUCACUAUCACGAGAAUAGCAUGGGAAAAACAGGCUGCCAUGAUUCAAUUACCUCCCCCUGGGUCCCUCCCACAACUGGGAGAUACAAUUCAAGUUGAGAUUUCAGUGGGGACACAGCCAAAUCAUAUCAGCUGGUCAUUAUUAGUAUGGUACAUUUUGCCUUAGAGAAUCUGCAGCAAUCAUUAAUGAGGCAUACAACAAUAAGCAUAUAAUGGAUAUGUUUUUAUUCCUAAGAAAAUGUUUUAGGGGGUCCUGAAGACUACCCACAUGUUUGGUGACUCACUAGAAGGACUCGUGGGACUGGGCAUACAGAUGCAUACAUGGGUAGGCUACAGAAAGGAUGCCCACAGGAUCAGUGAGGGAAAAAGACAGGUGGAGCCUGGAGAAAUCCAGGCGCAGCCUUCCUAUGUUGUUCCCUCCCAUUAGAGAGCACACUGAGUAUGCUUCUUUCUCCAGCAGUGAGAAAUGCAGUAAUAAAUAUGCAAUGUUCUGCCCAGGGAAGCCCGUUAGAGAUUUCAGCAUCCAAGGUUUUUAUGGGGAGUAGUCACAUAGGCACCCUCUGCCUAGCAACUACAAAAUUCCGGACUCCCCAAAGGAAAGCAAGUAUCGACCAUAAAUCACAUUGUCUGUACAGUCUAGGCAUAGCAAACCAGUCUACAUCAGUCAGGAAAUGACUAAAUGCCAAAUUCCCAGAUGCAAACCAAGGGCCAACCUGGCAAGCAGGCUUUUUUUUUUUUUUUUUUUUUUAAUUGAUCAUUCUUGGGUGUUUCUCACAGAGGGGGAUUUGGCAGGGUCAUAGGACAAUAGUGGAGGGAGGGUCAGCAGAUAAACAAGUGAACAAAGGUCUCUGGUUUUCCUAUGCAGAGGACCCUGCGGCCUUCCGCAGUGUUUGUGUCCCUGGGUAGUUGAGAUUAGGGAGUGGUGAUGACUCUUAACGAGCACGCUGCCUUCAAGCAUCUGUUUAACAAAGCACAUCUUGCACCACCCUUAAUCCAUUUAACCCUGAGUGGACACAGCACAUGUUUCAGAGAGCACAGGGUUGGGGUUAGGGUCACCGAUCAACAGGAUCACAAGGCAGAAGAAUUUUUCUUAGUACAGAACAAAAUGAAAAGUCUCCCGUGUCUACCUCUUUCUACACAGACAUGGCAACCAUCCGAUUUCUCAAUCCUUUCCCCGCCUUUCCCCCCUUUCUAUUCCACAAAACCGCCAUUGUCAUCAUGGCCAGUUCUCAAUGAGCUGUUGGGUACACCUCCCAGACGGGGUGGUGGCUGGGCA
RNAcentral lists this long non-coding RNA (7328 nucleotides) under Homo sapiens (human). Its description in RNAcentral is "non-protein coding lnc-CD40LG-2:12". Lineage: Eukaryota; Metazoa; Chordata; Mammalia; Primates; Hominidae. The record is from RNAcentral.